UGAUUAAAGGGAAAUGUAAAGGUUUUA
This 27-nucleotide small RNA is filed under the name Bombyx mori (domestic silkworm). RNAcentral describes it as "ovarian small RNA-32974". Lineage: Eukaryota; Metazoa; Arthropoda; Insecta; Lepidoptera; Bombycidae. The record is from RNAcentral.